UGGGGAAUCUUGGACAAUGGGGGCAACCCUGAUCCAGCCAUGCCGCGUGAGUGAUGAAGGCCUUAGGGUCGUAAAGCUCUUUCGCCUGGGAAGAUAAUGACGGUACCCGCAGAAGAAGCCCCGGCUAACACCGUGCCAGCAGCCGCGGUAAUACGGAGGGGGCUAGCGUUGUUCGGAAUUACUGGGCGUAAAGCGCGCGUAGGCGGACUUUCAAGUCAGGGGUGAAAUCCCGAGGCUCAACCUCGGAACUGCCUUUGAUACUGUAAGUCUUGAGUCCGAGAGAGGUGAGUGGAAUUCCUAGUGUAGAGGUGAAAUUCGUAGAUAUUAGGAAGAACACCAGUGGCGAAGGCGGCUCACUGGCUCGGUACUGACGCUGAGGUGCGAAAGCGUGGGGAGCAAACAGGAUUAGAUACCCCCGUAGUCC
This 424-nucleotide ribosomal RNA is filed under the name uncultured prokaryote. RNAcentral's name for it is "bacterial SSU rRNA". It matches the Rfam family "Bacterial small subunit ribosomal RNA", at positions 355 to 796 of the family's 1533-position model. The record is from RNAcentral.